CAACCGAGAGAGUGAGAGAGAGAGCUCUGCAUUUUUCUUCUUAGGCAGCUACAACCGAGAGAGAAAACAGAGCAACCGAACAGCUUUCCCAUUUCUGCAUUCUUUAACCGACCAAAACUGAGAGCCAAGUGAGUGAUAAAAGGAGAAAGAUAGCUUGCAACACAUAUAUCAGCUACAUCAGUGAGGGAAAAAGGAUAGCUGGUGCAAAAAUUGGAGGAACCAGAGCCGAGAGAGAUAGAGCAGUCCGCCAUUAUCGAAUUCUAAGGGAAAAGAGGUAAGAAUCUACCAUAACUUUCUGCUUAGUUAGUACAAUGAGAGUAUAUACAAGCUGCAUGUUAGUUUUUAGCAAGGAACAAUAAGUUUUAUCCGAAGAGAAUCUGAUAAAGGAGAGAAAAAUUGGAACUGGACAGAAAUGGAGGGAACCGAGAGCUGUUGUUGAGUUGCAGCCAUAAAUAAAGUAAAUUUUCUCUAAUAACCUCUGGGUUAUUCAGUACACUAGAAUAUUGAGGUUGCAUGCUGGAUUUUAGCUAAGAAAAACUAAAUUUUGUUGAAGGAAAACUCUGGUUUAGAGAUUUGUUACCUGCUGGAAUUCUCCUUGUUUCAUCCGAGAGCAAGAAAUGAUGAAGUACCAGUUUCUUUUGCGAAUUUUGGUUCUAAAAUUCUGUACUAAGCUAUAAUAUAUCGUGUAGUACUUUGAUUUCUUCAUGCAUGAAAGAUUUGAACACAAACUGAAGAGCUUAUUGGAGAAAAUUUGUGUUAAACUGAUUGCUGUUAGAAUUUUGAAAACAUGGCCGAGGGGGGGAGAUUAGGACCUGGACCAGCUUUGCUUUUCAAUUUCCCUUGGCUGUAAACUUUAUAUCCCUACUGAAGGUACUCUGUAGCUUGAUAACCAACCCUUGCAUGUUGAAUUUGACGAAGAAAGCUGAAGAAAUCUGUUGAGAGAGAGCCGAGAGGGAAAAAUAAACGUAGGAUCAGUUUUCUUUCAAACUUCCACUCUGUGAACUCUCAUAUCUGACAUUUGAGGCUGCUCUGUAGUUUAAUAGUUGUAUUGGCACAAUGAGCUGGGGUUAAACUGAAAGAAAUUAGGGAGGAAAACUAUGAAAUGUGUUAUUGAAUUACCUCAUGGCCAAGAGAGGAAGGGAAGAGCUGAUUAGUCUUUUCCUCUAAGUUAGCUGCAAAAUCUUAUACGUUCUGUACAAGGCUACUUUGUAGCUUAAUAAAUGUGAUUAACCUGUCUAAUUGGGAUAUAAAAUUGGAAGGAGGAACUUGAGUGAAAUGGCAAACGUUGGGCUGAUAUAUUGCUAGGGAGUUGCUUGAAGGCCACGAGAGUUGAUGACAGAUUUUGUGCAUGGUUUGGUUAAACCAUCUGCUACAAUUAGAUGUUUCUUAUCCUAAUUCAUGUUAGAUCAAAUGUAUGUUAAGUAAUUGGUGCUUUAAUCAAGUGAAAAAUGAAGUUCUUGGCCGAAAGCUUGAAGUAAUAUGGCUGAAUUUUUGUGGAUUGGUUGAAUGGUAAUGAGUUAAGCCUUAUAUGAUGUUUAGAAACUCUAAAGUAACUUGUUAUGGCCAUAUACAUAAAAUGGCUCCUAAUCACUUAAGUUUGUCUUUACAACAUUUUAAAGACUAUAAAACUUGAGAGGUUAAGGUUGUGGAACAAAAUUUAAUUCAAAAACAACCUAGAGUUUAGUUAGUUUUAAAAGGGAAAAUGGAGUAUCUAUAAGCCAUAAUUAAUAUUGAAUUGAGAAAGUAUAUUGGUUUGAACGUUAUACAAGCUUAUAAACUUGAAGAUAUGUAUGUUUCAUGGUUUAAAAAUAAUAAAGUCAAUAAGUUUCGGAAAUAAAAUGAUGAAUAAAUAUUGAGAAUGUUAUAUUUGUAUUUUAAGGUCAAACUUGAUUUUAAUAAGUUUAAAGGUCAAACUUGAUUUUAAUAAGUUUAAAUAAAAGAAUAAUAAAUGAUCAUCUACAAAUUAUAUAUUUACUUUGAAAUUAUUAACUUGUAACAGGAAGUAGCCGUGAACCAGGAAACCAACUCGAGACUCGAGAAUAGUCAUUUGAAUCCUUGGUGAGUGUCGUCGAAUGUAUAUGCUUAACUGGUUAUGUUUCUUUAAAUGAAUUUAUGUGAGAAAUGUGCUUGUUUUGAAUAUUGCUAGUGAUUUAUUGUGAUGUGUAUAUCAAUGGUGCCUCCCCUUCUAAGUCGGGAGUGUACUCUAUCGCACUCGACUUAGUUGAGAUCAAAAGUUGAUUAUUGAUUGUAUGAUACUGUAAAUGUGCAUGAAUGUAAGCUUUGGCUGAACUGUGCCCAAAACCCUCUGUUCAACAGACUAUUCGAGCCAGCAAGGGACUUGGUAGGAUAGGACGAUAGCUUUGGGUAAAUGUUUUGGUGUACUCGAGUACUACCUGAAGGUUGGGAGAUUACUGAAUUGAUUGUUGAGUGUAAGGGAUUGUUUAUUGUUUCGGAGAACAUAAGGGGGUGAAUUGGCCUAGUAAAUGCAAUGAUAUUGAAAUGAUUGUCUUGUGACUCUGAAAUGACAGUUCUAUGACAUCGAAAUGACUCCUAGGUGGAAUGCGUAUCCUUUUGAAUGUGAUUGUCCAAUAAAAUGUGCACCGUUUGUUCAGUUGCAAUGAUUUAAGUGUUAUUAACUGUUACUUGCUCGGCAAACCUUUCUGAGUUUUAACUCAACCUGUUAGCUUUGUUCUCCUUACAGGAAUUGGUGGUCAGGGUUUGAACGAGGAAUCUUAGAAACUUGGCAUGAAGACUUUUGUAUUUGUGCACCCCUUUAGUAUCUUAUUAAGGGUUGAAGCUUUUGUAUUAAACUAGGUUCGUAUAAGACUUGAACGGUUGGCUUUUGUUUUAUCAGAUGUUAUCUCUGAAGUUAAUGUAAAUAUUAAUGAGAGUUAUUUAACUGUUAUCUCUAAAGUUAAGGUGAUAAUAGUGAGCUCUGGC
This 2940-nucleotide long non-coding RNA is filed under the name Coffea arabica (coffee). RNAcentral describes it as "long non-coding RNA (CARA_LNC002257)". Lineage: Eukaryota; Viridiplantae; Streptophyta; Magnoliopsida; Gentianales; Rubiaceae. The record is from RNAcentral.